UGUUUUGAGGUAAUUAUGUUUUUGUUGGUCUCACAGAUCCAUAUAACAGAAGACCAGAUGCUAUUCGGACCGAGCCCAUAUUUCUGGAAGAAGCAUGUGUUUACUGGAAACUUGCAGGCUGCUUUAGCAAUCUGAAACUCCGACAAGAUUUUGGUAGUUGGAACUCUGAGAGACCCAAGGAUAAAUGGUUUCUAUAUAACGAAGAUGAGGAGAAAGCAGUUGAUAGAUAUAUUUCCUUUUCACGGCUGUGCUAAGUUCUUUAUUGUCUUCGUUGAAGCUUCAAUUGCUGCGGAUUUUGGGCCCUCGAAACAAGCUUCUCUUGAUGUAAUACUCCCCAACUCAUGUAACAAGAACUGAUGACUUUUUGUGCUUAAACUGUAAGCUUAUGCUAUUCAAUUUGUUUAACCUGUAAUUUUCAUGCAAUCCUGCCAUAUUUUGGUGUUGGUUUGGACAGUAUCUACAUGAUUGAGAUAUGACAAUCUUAUCUAAUAGAUCGAACUGCAGUUA
Zingiber officinale is the source of this 507-nucleotide long non-coding RNA. RefSeq lists it as uncharacterized. The transcript is spliced from 3 exons. The record is from RefSeq and is a predicted model, not a curated record. Lineage: Eukaryota; Viridiplantae; Streptophyta; Magnoliopsida; Zingiberales; Zingiberaceae.